RNAcentral lists this unclassified non-coding RNA (393 nucleotides) under soil metagenome. RNAcentral describes it as "partial contains 5.8S ribosomal RNA, internal transcribed spacer 2, and large subunit ribosomal RNA". The stretch from base 1 to 122 matches the Rfam family "5.8S ribosomal RNA", at positions 35 to 154 of the family's 154-position model. The record is from RNAcentral.
GAUGAAGAACGCAGCGAAAUGCGAUACUUGGUGUGAAUUGCAGAAUCCCGUGAACCAUCGAGUCUUUGAACGCAAGUUGCGCCCGAAGCCACUAGGCCGAGGGCACGCCUGCCUGGGCGUCACACGUCGUUGCCCCCCCCCCAUCUACUCCUUCGGGAUUGCGGGGGGCGGAUGAUGGCCUCCCGUGCGCCUAGCCGCGCGGUUGGCAUAAAUACCAAGUCCUCGGCGACGCACGCCACGACAAUCGGUGGUUGCGAAACCUCGGUUGCCCGUCGUGUGCGUUCGUCGCGCAUCGAGGGCUCGAAAAAAUGCUCGGCUCCGGCUGGGCUUUCAACGCGACCCCAGGUCAGGCGGGGUUACCCGCUGAAUUUAAGCAUAUCAAUAAGCGGAGGA